CAGUAGCCGCGGUAAAACGGAGGGUGCAAGCGUUAAUCGGAAUUACUGGGCGUAAAGCGCACGCAGGCGGUCUGACAAGUCAGAUGUGAAAUCCCCGGGCUUAACCUGGGAACUGCAUUUGAAACUGUCAGGCUGGAGUCUUGUAGAGGGGGGUGGAAUUCCAGGUGUAGCGGUGAAAUGCGUAGAGAUCUGGAGGAAUACCGGUGGCGAAGGCGGCCCCCUGGACAAAGACUGACGCUCAGGUGCGAAAGCGUGGGGAGCAAACAGGAUUAGAUACCCGCGUAGUCCCUGUCUCUUAUAC
RNAcentral lists this ribosomal RNA (301 nucleotides) under uncultured bacterium. RNAcentral describes it as "partial 16S ribosomal RNA". It matches the Rfam family "Bacterial small subunit ribosomal RNA", at positions 509 to 807 of the family's 1533-position model. The record is from RNAcentral.